Molecule: transfer RNA, 63 nt
Filed under: Olenecamptus bilobus
Lineage: Eukaryota; Metazoa; Arthropoda; Insecta; Coleoptera; Cerambycidae
Description: tRNA-Cys
Source: RNAcentral
GGUCUUAUAUUCAUUUAUGAUAUUAAAUUGCAAAUUUAAAGGUGGUGAUUUUACCUAAGGCUU